Transfer RNA from Felis catus (domestic cat), 85 nucleotides. It matches the Rfam family "tRNA". From Rfam's summary of the family: Transfer RNA (tRNA) molecules are approximately 80 nucleotides in length. Their secondary structure includes four short double-helical elements and three loops (D, anti-codon, and T loops). NCBI's taxonomy places the organism in Eukaryota, Metazoa, Chordata, Mammalia, Carnivora, Felidae. The record is from Rfam.
GCCUGGGUGGCUUAGUCAGUUGAGCAUUCGACUUUGGCUCGGAUCACAAUCUCACAGUUCAUGGGUUCGAGCCCCACAUUGGGCU